Molecule: non-coding RNA, 22 nt
Filed under: Arabidopsis thaliana (thale cress)
Lineage: Eukaryota; Viridiplantae; Streptophyta; Magnoliopsida; Brassicales; Brassicaceae
Source: RNAcentral
UAAACUGAAUUCGUCGAGUCCU